Rodentibacter rarus is the source of this 96-nucleotide non-coding RNA. NCBI's taxonomy places the organism in Bacteria, Pseudomonadati, Pseudomonadota, Gammaproteobacteria, Pasteurellales, Pasteurellaceae. The record is from Rfam.
GUGCGGUCACAAAAAACAACGUUUUUUGAGCGUUGGCUGUGUCAACGACCCUGACAGGGUGAGCAAACGAGCAGGCGAGUUUGGGAAUAAAAUCAA